This 252-nucleotide ribosomal RNA is filed under the name uncultured bacterium. RNAcentral describes it as "partial 16S ribosomal RNA". It matches the Rfam family "Bacterial small subunit ribosomal RNA", at positions 524 to 776 of the family's 1533-position model. The record is from RNAcentral.
UACGUAGGUGGCGAGCGUUGUCCGGAUUUACUGGGCGUAAAGGGAGCGUAGGUGGUUUAUUAAGUCUGGUGUAAAAGGCAGUGGCUCAACCAUUGUAUGCAUUGGAAACUGGUAGACUUGAGUGCAGGAGAGGAGAGUGGAAUUCCAUGUGUAGCGGUGAAAUGCGUAGAUAUAUGGAGGAACACCGGUGGCGAAAGCGGCUCUCUGGCCUGUAACUGACACUGAGGCUCGAAAGCGUGGGGAGCAAACAGG